RNAcentral lists this ribosomal RNA (253 nucleotides) under uncultured bacterium. RNAcentral's name for it is "partial 16S ribosomal RNA". It matches the Rfam family "Bacterial small subunit ribosomal RNA", at positions 524 to 776 of the family's 1533-position model. The record is from RNAcentral.
UACAGAGGUCCCAAGCGUUGUUCGGAUUCACUGGGCGUAAAGGGUGCGUAGGCGGUUGGGUAAGUCUGGCGUGAAAUCCCCGAGCUCAACUCGGAAACUGCGUUGGAUACUAUCCGGCUAGAGGAAUGGAGGGGAGACUGGAAUACUUGGUGUAGCAGUGAAAUGCGUAGAUAUCAAGUGGAACACCAGUGGCGAAGGCGAGUCUCUGGACAUUUCCUGACGCUGAGGCACGAAAGCCAGGGGAGCAAACGGG